GUGCCAGCAGCCGCGGUAAUACGGAGGGUGCAAGCGUUAUCCGGAAUUACUGGGUUUAAAGGGUACGUAGGCGGGACAAUAAGUCAGAGGUGAAAACUUUGUGCUAAACGCAAAGACUGCCUUUGAAACUGUUGUUCUUGAGUAUGAGAGAGGUUUGCAGAAUGCGACGUGUAGCGGUGAGAUGCAUAGAUAUGUCGUAGAGUACCGAUUGCGAAGGCAGCGAACUGGCUCAUUACUGACGCUGAGGUACGAAAGCGUGGGGAGCGAACAGGAUUAGAAACCCCUGUAGUCC
This 292-nucleotide ribosomal RNA is filed under the name uncultured bacterium. RNAcentral's name for it is "partial 16S ribosomal RNA". It matches the Rfam family "Bacterial small subunit ribosomal RNA", at positions 505 to 796 of the family's 1533-position model. The record is from RNAcentral.